UGUCUCUUCAGAGAUUAUAUGGUUAACAGACAGAGAAGAUCAGCGUGGCCCCUGGUACUAAGGAUGGCACGCGUUCAAUCAUGGGGACGCUAUACUUUUUU
Fusarium venenatum is the source of this 101-nucleotide non-coding RNA. NCBI's taxonomy places the organism in Eukaryota, Fungi, Ascomycota, Sordariomycetes, Hypocreales, Nectriaceae. The record is from RefSeq and is a predicted model, not a curated record.